This 84-nucleotide transfer RNA is filed under the name Actinoplanes couchii. RNAcentral's name for it is "tRNA-Arg". Lineage: Bacteria; Bacillati; Actinomycetota; Actinomycetes; Micromonosporales; Micromonosporaceae. The record is from RNAcentral.
CGGUUCUGAGCGUUGUGGUUCUGAACGCUGCGGUUCCGGGCCGCGCGGUUUUGGGCGCUGUGGUUCCGGGCCGUGCGGUUCCGG